Molecule: RNA transcript, 471 nt
Organism: Myotis lucifugus (little brown bat)
Lineage: Eukaryota; Metazoa; Chordata; Mammalia; Chiroptera; Vespertilionidae
Gene name: guanine nucleotide-binding protein G(I)/G(S)/G(O) subunit gamma-5 pseudogene
Exons: 1
Source: RefSeq, a predicted model, not a curated record
CGCGACCCGCGACCUGCGACCCAUGACCCGCUACCGACCAAUCUGCCCGGCACUCGCGUGCACCAUGUCUGGUUCCUCCAGUGUCACCACUAUAAAGAAAGUGGUUCAACAGCUCCAGCUGGAGGCCGGGCUCAACCGCGUGAAGGUUUCCCAGGCAGCUGCAGAUUGGAAACAAUUCUGUCUGCAGAAUGUUCAACAUGACCCCUUGUUGACUGGAGUAUCUUCAAGUACCAAUCCCUUCAGACCCCAGGAAGUUUGUUCCUUUUUGUAGUAAAAUGAAUUUUGAAGGUGUUCUCAACCACUUUUCUUGAACCAGCAAAUAUUCAAAGAGAGCUAAGUCUGAAGACUGUACAAAAAGCUUACCCUAUAACAUGUGCCAUACUCUACAAACUUCUGCUUUUGUCAGUCCUUAACAUCUACCUCUCUGAAUUUUCACGAAUUUCUAUUUCACAAGAAUGAUUAUUUUAUAUA